AUGGCGGCGACAAAGACGGCGGCCAGAUCUGGACUGCUCCCUGCUACGAGGAAGGAAGUGCCGCCGCUCCGUCUCCGGGUGGUGGCUGCUUUCAGUCCAGAGGAAGAAGGAAGGGUCGCUGCGGUUGCUCCCGGCGUCUUAGUUGAAAAGGCAAAUAACCUACCCCCUCUCCAAAUUUUCUUCUUCGAAUGCGGUGUUGGGGCGGUGCCGAUCAAUGAGGAGCUACAUUGUGAGACAAGCAGCACACAUAUGUCCUGCAAGUGGCCGGACCUAGGCGUAUCGGUCGACAAUGGUACUUCACUAGAGAGGAGCGAUCUGCAAGAGUUGGCUGCUAUGUAUAUAUAUGUUACGGGCCAGCGCACAGAUUUUUUGCCGUCGAGAUCAACUUCCUACACACAAGUGAAUUACUUCUGGAGUUCAAUUGUUACUACAUUGAAGAGAAAUACGAUAGCAUCUAAUAAUCCACUAAGUGCGGUCAAGGGUGGAACUGCUGAUCUUUUUAAGAAAAAGGGCAAAUUUGAAUACUCUCUCAUCACCUUUUGGGCAACACGUGAGGGAUCAAAUUCUGCUGCCACAGAUCCAGUACUGUUCUUCGCUGAAUGCAGCAAUGAUGAUGAAGAUGACAAGGAAACACCUCCCCUGUGCGUCCCAGUAUUUAGUUCUUGGAUAUCUGAUGGUAUGCUCUCAGCUCUCUUUCACACAGUUUCCAUGUGGGCACUUCAUCACAAAGCUAUACAGAACAACAACAAUUUACAUGUUGGGCGUUCAGUUCUAUUUCCUGGUGCUGCUGGUGGCGGCAGUAGCGGUCGUUCGUCCUGCAGCACCUGUUAG
This 831-nucleotide ribosomal RNA is filed under the name Triticum aestivum (bread wheat). RNAcentral's name for it is "partial small subunit ribosomal RNA". Lineage: Eukaryota; Viridiplantae; Streptophyta; Magnoliopsida; Poales; Poaceae. The record is from RNAcentral.